AUUGAACGCUGGCGGCAGGCCUAACACAUGCAAGUCGAGCGGAUGAAGGGAGCUUGCUCCUGGAUUCAGCGGCGGACGGGUGAGUAAUGCCUAGGAAUCUGCCUGGUAGUGGGGGAUAACGUCCGGAAACGGGCGCUAAUACCGCAUACGUCCUGAGGGAGAAAGUGGGGGAUCUUCGGACCUCACGCUAUCAGAUGAGCCUAGGUCGGAUUAGCUAGUUGGUGGGGUAAAGGCCUACCAAGGCGACGAUCCGUAACUGGUCUGAGAGGAUGAUCAGUCACCUUGAACUUGAGAACCGUCCAGACUCCUACGGGAGGCAGCAGUGGGGAAUAUUGGACAAUGGGCGAAAGCCUGAUCCAGCCAUGCCGCGUGUGUGAAGAAGGUCUUCGGAUUGUAAAGCACUUUAAGUUGGGAGGAAGGGCAGUAAGUUAAUACCUUGCUGUUUUGACGUUACCAACAGAAUAAGCACCGGCUAACUUCGUG
This 483-nucleotide ribosomal RNA is filed under the name uncultured bacterium. RNAcentral's name for it is "partial 16S ribosomal RNA". It matches the Rfam family "Bacterial small subunit ribosomal RNA", at positions 30 to 507 of the family's 1533-position model. The record is from RNAcentral.